Non-coding RNA from Cordylochernes scorpioides, 74 nucleotides. Lineage: Eukaryota; Metazoa; Arthropoda; Arachnida; Pseudoscorpiones; Chernetidae. The record is from the annotation of a GenBank genome assembly.
AUUCAAGGGAUGGGAAUCGAACCCACGACCUUCCGCUUACCGGGCAGAUGCCAUGACCACUAGGCUACCCUGGU